AGUGAACGCUGGCGGCAGGCCUAACACAUGCAAGUCGAACGGCAGCACAGUAAGAGCUUGUUCUUACGGGUGGCGAGUGGCGGACGGGUGAGGAAUACAUCGGAAUCUACUUUUUCGUGGGGGAUGACGCAGGGAAACUUACGCUAAUACUGCAUACGACCUACGGGUGAAAGCAUGGGAUCUUCGGACCUCGCGCGAUUGAAUGAGCCGAUGUCGGAUUAGCUAGUUGGCGGGGUAAAGGCCCACCAAGGCGACGAUCCGUAGCUGGUCUGAGAGGAUGAUCAGCCACACUGGAACUGAGACACGGUCCAGACUCCUACGGGAGGCAGCAGUGGGGAAUAUUGGACAAUGGGCGAAAGCCUGAUCCAGCCAUGCCGCGUGGGUGAAGAAGGCCUUCGGGUUGUAAAGCCCUUUUGUUGGGAAAGAAAAGCAGCAAGUUAAUACCCCGCUGUUCUGACGGUACCCAAAGAAUAAGCACCGGCUAACUUCGUG
This 492-nucleotide ribosomal RNA is filed under the name uncultured bacterium. RNAcentral describes it as "partial 16S ribosomal RNA". It matches the Rfam family "Bacterial small subunit ribosomal RNA", at positions 29 to 507 of the family's 1533-position model. The record is from RNAcentral.